Molecule: non-coding RNA, 3595 nt
Organism: Microcebus murinus (gray mouse lemur)
Lineage: Eukaryota; Metazoa; Chordata; Mammalia; Primates; Cheirogaleidae
Source: RefSeq, a predicted model, not a curated record
CACAAUGGAGAGUUAUUAAGAGGCUUCUUGGUGAAGCGAGCAUGGCUUCUGCAAUCAUCAAAAAUUGAUAUGUACCGCUAGUAAAGUAAUUAUGCGCCAUCCUGAGGAUAAGGGAGCCAGCAAUUGUUAAUCCACUUGCACACCCGUUGACUUGCAACAUCAAGCUGCAAAUAGCUUAAUUAAGUCAUACACGUGGACUAUAACCAUAUUGCUCCAUUGCAUUAUGCACAGUAUAUCUCAAUUUAUUGGGACAAUUAAUGCUAGAACCUCACCUCGAGCAGGAAUGUCAGCCACCCAAUGCCCGAGUCCCUUUGGAUUGAUACUGCCCAAGUCAGAAAGCCACGAAUAAGUGAGAAUUAAGAGAGAUGGCAGCUGGGGAACUGGAGUGGGAUUUCUCCUGCGCAAACUUUUGGGGCCCAAUGGUGUUGUCCGAAUAGGAUGCCAAAAGCUGAGGUGAAGCAAGUGCUUUGGACAGACCACAAUUCAUCAUGUCCGUGAUGGUCGUGUAUUUAAGUGGGCAGAGUCCUCAAUAGUUUCAUUAAAAUUGUAAAUCACAUAGCAAAGCCUAUUCAUUAAUCACAAGAAAUCUUUAGCUCAGUAAGUCCCCGGUCUGUUAGGGCGGAUAUUUAAAUCAGCUCCACCCGACUCCCACACACAUCUGUCCGCCACAGGCAGUUUAUUUUUCUGAGUUUAAACUACUGAAACCUUUGGGUAAAACCCAAUCGAAUUUCUCUGUUUACUAACGACCAAGACGCAAACUUCUGUCCUAGAAUCCCUCUCCAUCCGGUCUCCAUUCUUCAUGGUGUAAACAUUCCAGGUGACACACGCUUGGGAAUGCUGUCACCCUCCGCGGCCGGCAGCGGCGGUGUGGUGGGUGGUAGAGGGACCGCCUUCCCCCUAAGCUAGCAGCCCUUGUCCCUAGCUUCCCUGGCAAGCGCAGAGUCCAAGGGCCCGGGGUGGAAGUGGACUUUUGGUACUUCCUUCCCUUGAGGAUGCGAAGGUACCUGCUUCACUUCUAACUUGGGUGCCAGGUAAGGCUCCGUUUUGAGUCUGAGGCGCGAAAUGCCCUGAGAGUCGUUAUUGCCGUCAAGGUAAGCAAAACGUUGACAGGAAGUCUAGUUCUCACUGACCCAGGAAUCGACCAUCCUUCACUUCGAACAUCACAAAUAAAUGGGGAACUUCAAGCGGCAAGUAUUUCUCCUAUACGUGCCACUAAGCGCUGGUUGAAGUGCACCGGCCCUUCUUCGUCUUCUAGUUUGAAAGUUGGUUUCUGGCAAGAGGAAAGAAAAGGCUGCGGCACUAAAAGAAGAAUCAAAGUGUUAAAAGGACGCUCAAAAUGUAGUAUUGUGGCAGGUCGGGGUCAAGCAUACCCCUGCACCUCACAGCUGGUUUGUUCUGUUUUGAGUUUGGUUCUACCCCAAGUUUUUCCUCUGUAUGUGGACAUUUUAGGGCCAAACUUCAACUUGGUGGAGAUUCUGACACUCAGCAGAAGGAGGCCUGAGCAGAAGGCAUAACUCAGACCUACUCCCAGCCACCAGGAAAUAAUGACAGUUGAAUGGGGGGAAUAAGGUUCAGAGUGAGAGCCAGCACUUGGACUCUGGGCAGGAGAACACAUUCCGAGGUGGAUAUUUUUUUUCCAGCCAACUGUCUUUAAAUGCGAGUCUCUGACACCAGGUUGCGGAUGAGAAGUGGAUAGGAGAGAGAAAAGUUGGGAAGGCUUCGAUUUGCAAGAGAAAAAACUUUUUGAAUUCUCCAUGCAGAUGGUGCAAAUCUGCCUGUAAUCAUUUUUCAGCUCAUCCGGGAGCUGCUCUCCAAGUGAAGCCCCAAAGUAAAUAAGUCACCCCCCCCAAAGUCACGCCUUUAAAGGGAACACCGUCGGCCUAAUUACGCUUGAAUUAUGCAAGGAGCUCCACGGAGGAUGGAACUUUAGACAAAUAAUUGCUCCAUUGUGUGGGGCCUGCCCGCCCGGCGCGGCCUCCCUCCCCUUUUCAUCACUUGGGCUCGAAAGGCGGCGGGGCUCUCAACCACCUGAAAACCGCCGCUGGGGGCCGAGCCAGAGACUCCUGCCUAAUUAACCUACUUUUCCACCCAGUGGAUGUCAAGAUUUUAGAAAAAGGGUUGAGAGAGGGAAAAGGGACUCACAGGGGUUCCCCCCAACCCCCAGUCGAAACAAAGUUCCUUUGCCAAGUUUUGCAGUUGUGAUUCCUUGAAAGCUUUUGCACCUUAGGCAAAAACUUGAGAUAUCCAGGGAAUUGCUUGGAAAAGCUUCCUGUGCUAUCAAGGGAGCCUUGAGAAGACCAGAAGAUGGAAAAUAUUGGAAAAUGAGUGCCAUCUGUGUGCUUCACUAGUGAUAAAUCAUUGCGAUCAAACAGGUUCUCAAAGUUUGGGAAUAAGUGAGUAAACGUGAAGCUCCCCACAAUCCCUAAAAGGAGAAUUAGAUUAAUUUUUCAAAUGAGAAUGAAAUUAAAUGAAUUUCCGAUGUAAUUUCCUGACUAAGCAGCAAGAAGCUAGGGAUUUUAACAACAAAGAGUAUCCUCUCUGACAAGUUGGUAAGGAUCACUUUGCUGAUCACUCAGCUACAAUUAUUUAUGAUGUUCUACUCACAGAUGGAUUCCCCAUUCAAAACCAAAUAAUUUAUUUCCAUUUCCUUUCAUUUGACUAGGACUGAAAUUGUCUUUUCAGGAUCACAGUCAUAUAUUUGGAUCAUUUCCCUGUAAAAAAAAUGUUUUACCUCCAAACCUUCAGAGUUCUUAUGGAAGCUGUGCAAUAAAAUGAUUGGAUAACACACUAUUGGCUCAUUAGGUCCAUUCUGAAAUGUUAUCUCUUGUUGGAAAAAUUCACAAUAUACUAGACCUCUAUGAAGGUAAUUUUGGAAGAAAGUAUAUGGACUUUGAAAUUUAUAGAAGUUGAGGGCUGAAUGAGUUUAGUAUUAGAACAGAAAACUAAGAGUCCUUGUAGAUUGUUAGAAAUAUUUUCUUUAAAAAAUAUAGAUGCAUUGCUAUUCAUUUAGUUGAUCCCCUCCAGCUUUAAAAACUCCACAGGACACUAGGUACGGUGUACACAAACAUUUCUCUAGAGGGCUUAUGUAUAUUUAUUUAUUCAUGGAGCCCAAGGCAACCAGUGUUUUAUAAGCAGAGACAGAAAUGGGGUGAAGGGCUGGUAGAAGUAAAAUGCUUCUGAAGUGAGUUCCUGAGAAGUUCCUGAGUGGUGUUCCUUCUUUAGGAAAGUUACUUAUCAACAUGCAAAUCUUUCUGUGAAAAUAGUCAAGAUGCCUUUAUUAAUGGGUUAUGAAUCCUACAAUUACCUGCGCUCUGCGUGUUUCAGUCACCAUUUUUCUACCCACACACAUACAGAUAAUCCCCUGUGUAUAUACAAACAAAAAAUACUAUACCCGCAAAGAUAUGCCAUAACUAUAAACAUAAAAACAGAUUUAAGAGUGGGCAGAAUCAGAGUAGAUAUGUACAAUUAGAGAAGAUGAGGGCCAUAAAAAAUGACAGAUGAGUAUGUGAAUUUAGAAAGUGCUAAUUUACGAAAUCUUACCUGGCUGAAGUCAUAGGCAUUUUGGGGUAGCCCCUGACAGGCUGCCUCGGACUUG